Non-coding RNA from Mycena galopus ATCC 62051, 89 nucleotides. The record is from the annotation of a GenBank genome assembly. NCBI's taxonomy places the organism in Eukaryota, Fungi, Basidiomycota, Agaricomycetes, Agaricales, Mycenaceae.
GCCUUCGUGGAUCAUGGGAGAUCGCCUCGAUUGCCCAUUAAAAGGGAAGACGAUACUGAGGAGCGGAGGUUCGAAUCCUCUCGAAGACA